UCCACUUUCAAGUGCUGCUACUCUACCCUCAACUGGAGCUAAGAGAUUGUAAUGAGGCCCUCUUCAUGGAGCUUCCAAUGGGAUUGCAGAAACUCACAAUUGGAGGAUUUGAUGCACUAGAGUCCAUACCGGAGAGAUGGAUGGACUUCAACAAUUCUUGUCUUGAGGAGUUAAAAAAUACAUCUCUAUCCAGUGGUGGUCAACCUUCUACAUUAAAAAUCCUUGGCAUCAAAGAUUGUAGGAAGUUAGAGCUUCUAGUGGGCUGGAACUAUUCAUUCCUUGAAAGAUCGAAGUUAGAAAAUGGUUGUGAUUCUCUACAGUCCUUUCCAUUAAACAUAUUCCCGAAUCUGAAGUCCAUCAAACUAAAUGGAUGUAGGAAUCUAGAGUCUGUUAAUGUUCCGCAAUAACUUGAACUUGAUUUAGUGGCCUUAUCAAUAAUAAAAAUAAAAAAUUGCUCCAAUUUCGUAUCAUUUCCAAAUGGAGGAUUGUGUGCCCCAAAACUUGCUAGGUUUCAUGUCAUCAAUUGUCACAGUCUGACGUCACUACCUGACAAGAUGCACAUACUCAAUCCGUCUCUUUGGGAGUUGCAUUUGGUUCAGUGUCCAGAAGUUGAGUCGUUCCCUGAAGGAGGCUUGCCUUCCAGUCUAUUUAGUAUUUACAUCAUCGACUGUGACAGACUCGUCGCCAAUAGAAGGGGAUGGGGAUUGCAAAAUUUGCCCUCCAUUGAACACAUUAGAAUCAAAGGCAAUUGUGCAGACGUCGAGUCCUUUCCGGAGGCGAGUCUACUUCCCAGUUCCCACGAGUUUGGUUUCUCUUGAGAUGUCAACCUUUCAAAAUAUGAAAUCUUUGGAUUAUAAGGCCCUUCGACACCUCACCUCUCUUGGAUCAUUGCCGAUCUAUUCCUGCCCUAAGUUGAGGUCUAUGCAAGAAGAAGGGUUGCCUGCCUCCAUUUCUAGUCUACAGAUCUACCAAUGUGCUUUGUUAGGGAAACAGUUGCAAAACAAAAAUGGAAAAGCAUGGCGUAAGAUUGCUCACAUCCCCUAUAAGGGUUUACACGCAAUAUGGAAGUGAAUUAAGGAGGUAAUUAAGCUAUACAGCAAGCUGGCUGAUCUCUAGAAUCAUGGAAAUUAUUCUGGAUGAUUUUCUUUGUCCGUUAAGAGUGCCCAAUUUCAGUUAUAUUAUCUACAGCACAGAUGAACGACGAAAAAGGUUUGUUCCGGUGAUACGUGUUUCUGCACAUCUCCUUUCGGAUGCUCUUCCUUAAUUCCUUACGAGGUUUUUUUAAUAGAGAUAUGCUUUCUUUGCUUCGAAUCAAGUUGAUGCGUCCCAUAUGCAUUCCCAAGCUCAUCUGAAGCUCUCCUGCAGUGCUCUGCUGUGCAUCAGCAGUAUCUGAAGCUCUGGCUUUUAGUUACAACAAAAUCUUGAAAAGGCUUGGCGAUUGUGCAACUUCUUUUAUAGCUUCUCUUGUUACUUGUUCCAAUCAAGACUCGUGCCGUUUGUACACGAUCUGCCUAUGCAUGCCAUACCAAGAAACAGGGCUAGUUUCAUUCGACAGGGGUGAUCAGGCUUGCAUGCUCGUGGACAUGGCAGCAAUCUUGCAUCAGCUGCAUGUAUACCAUUCGGCUUACUCAGUUGAUAUUUGUAAUCCCUGAUAAGGAGAGACUAGAUUUCUCUCACUUUUGCAGCCAAUUAAAGGGUACAAUUGCUAAAGUUUUCUUAAAAUUAAGCUGGUUUGUUUAAAUUUGAGCUCAAAUG
This is a long non-coding RNA of Carya illinoinensis, 1755 nucleotides long. RefSeq lists it as uncharacterized. The record is from RefSeq and is a predicted model, not a curated record. Lineage: Eukaryota; Viridiplantae; Streptophyta; Magnoliopsida; Fagales; Juglandaceae. The transcript has 3 exons.